GAUCCUGGCUUAGGAUGAACGCUGGCGGCGUGCUUAACACAUGCAAGUCGAACGAAGCACGUUUACUGAUCCCCUUCGGGGGUGAAAUGAUAGUGACUUAGUGGCGGACGGGUGAGUAACCCGUGGGUAACCUGCCUUAUACUGGGGGAUAACAGUUGGAAACGACUGCUAAUACCGCAUAAUAAAGAAUAUCGCAUGAUUUUUCUUUUGAAAUAUUAAUAGGUAUAAGAUGGACCCGCGUCUGAUUAGCUAGUUGGUGAGGUAACUGCUCACCAAGGCGACGAUCAGUAGCCGGCUUGAGAGAGUGACCGGCCACAUUGGGACUGAGACACGGCCCAAACUCCUACGGGAGGCAGCAGUGGGGAAUAUUGCACAAUGGGGGAAACCCUGAUGCAGCGACGCCGCGUGAGUGAAGAAGUAUUUCGGUAUGUAAAGCUCUAUCAGCAGGGAAGAUAAUGACGGUACCUGACUAAGAAGCCCCGGCUAACUACGUGCCAGCCGCCGC
Molecule: ribosomal RNA, 505 nt
Filed under: uncultured bacterium
Lineage: Bacteria
Description: bacterial SSU rRNA
Rfam family: Bacterial small subunit ribosomal RNA
Source: RNAcentral